UUUUGACCGUGCAAAGGUAGCGCAAUCACUUGUCUCUUAAAUAGAGACCUGUAUGAAUGGCUAGACGAGGGCUUAACUGUCUCCCCCCUCCAGUCAGUGAAAUUGAUCUAUCCGUGCAGAAGCGGGUAUAAUUAUACAAGACGAGAAGACCCUUUGGAGCUUAAGGUACAAGAUUCAACCACGUUAAACGACUCUAUAAGAAGCAAGAACUUAGUGGCGAAUGAAACUUUACCUUCGGUUGGGGCGACCACGGAGGAAAAAGAAGCCUCCGAGUGGAUUGGGCCAAACCCCAAAGCCAAGAGAGACAUCUACAAGCCGCAGAACAUCUGACCAAAAAUGAUCCGGCUGAAAGGCCGAUCAACGAACCAAGUUACCCUAGGGAUAACAGCGCAAUCCUCUCCCAGAGUCCAUAUCGACGAGGGG
Molecule: ribosomal RNA, 423 nt
Filed under: Alburnoides bipunctatus (spirlin)
Lineage: Eukaryota; Metazoa; Chordata; Actinopteri; Cypriniformes; Leuciscidae
Description: partial 16S ribosomal RNA
Rfam family: Bacterial large subunit ribosomal RNA
Source: RNAcentral